GCAUAUAUAGUCCAUGAAUCAGAGUGUUUUUUUUUUGAGAGAAAUGUAGCGAGCUACCCACUUCAUUUAUUAAGAGGGAUGAACUAGGCUUACAAGGUGGAUGCAGCGAAGACUUCCGGAGGAAAACAAAUAGUACAAAAAACCCAAAAAAAAGUGAGCGAAAAGAAAGAAGAAGCAAAAGAAAAAGAAAAAAGAGAAAGGAAAAAAGCAAGGUAUACGAUCCGCACUCAGCAGAAAUUGCUCUAGUUGUUUAGGAGAACGUUGAUACGGUUAAGCGAGCGCAGGGGGUUGGGAGAUGUCAU
This 302-nucleotide long non-coding RNA is filed under the name Ananas comosus (pineapple). Its description in RNAcentral is "long non-coding RNA (ACOM_LNC002414)". The record is from RNAcentral. Lineage: Eukaryota; Viridiplantae; Streptophyta; Magnoliopsida; Poales; Bromeliaceae.